This 1208-nucleotide long non-coding RNA is filed under the name Fukomys damarensis (Damara mole-rat). Its description in RNAcentral is "lncRNA (ENSFDAG00000026482.1)". Lineage: Eukaryota; Metazoa; Chordata; Mammalia; Rodentia; Bathyergidae. The record is from RNAcentral.
UGACUAUACAGGUGGUUGAGGGAGUACAGGCACCCAGGGCAGUGCCACACUCUCUGAACCCUGUACACUGUUCAUGUUCCACUAAUUUUUAUCUUGAAACAUUAGAACCAUAUUAAUAACAUGUUAAUGGUUAUUAUUAAUACCAUAUUAACAACAUCUGAUAAUAUUAUUUAAUAAUCAGUGUGAAUUUUAUUUGGAAGUUCGUUCCAGUUAAUAUAGGAUAGACAUAAUAAAUGUAAUAAAUUGAACCCAGUGAACCAGCUCUUUGGUAAUAAAAUCAAAUACCCAGCGGUUGACUGGAUUAAGACUCCAGGUCACACAGUGCCACCCCACACUGACCAGAACUUUUUACUGAGUUAAAAGUUGGGGUUUGCAAGGUGAGGAUUGAGGCCAACACUUUAUCACUGCACUUAGGACCCUGUGUCUACAGGAGCUAAAGACAAGCUUGUUAUGAGAACAGUUAGCUAAGAGUUCCACUGGAGCCUACUCAGUGUCUUAAAACACACAGCUCUUCUGGAAAAUAGGAAUGGAAGAAGGCAAAGACGGAAGUCAAAUCCCUGCAGCUCUGAAUGUGAACCAGCAAGAGCAGUGGUGCCUUUAUCUGUGUGUCUGAUGCAACCCUGCUGAGGCCUGCUCAGGCUGAGAUGGCACAAGCAGACCAACAAUGUACCUGCCCGCUGUGAUAACUGCCUGUGUUAAUGGCCAUCUCCCACCAAAGAGAACCAGGAUUGCCUCCCAAAAUGGCCAAUCUGGUCUUCAGGAGGGCGGUUUUGAAAAAUACAAGCCUAGAAUGUGCUGACAUACCAGAAAGCAAGGGAACUGGCAGAAGUGACUCAGCACACAGUCACUCCAUGAAUGAGGAGCAGCUCCCAGCAGUCAAGACAGAGAUUGAGACUUUUCUCUGGGACUUCAAUAAGAAAACAGUCAUUCAUUUCUCUAUACCUGAAUGGCUAUUUUCACCUGGAUUCUUUCCAAGGAUAGAGUAUUCUGGAUGGCUUAUCAACUGAUCAGUGCUAUUUAACUGAAAGAGCCACUUAUCUAUGUGUCACUCAGUUGCUGUGAAAGAACUAGGCCUUUUAAAGGCACCUGAACAAGAGGAGCAAGAAGGAAAUUUGGCCAAGGGCGGCCAGAUCCAAGUGGUAACAGCCCCAUGCCACAACAACAGCUGCAUAACCUAUAAUCAAACACCUGCAUACACAAAGUGUGCA